Molecule: long non-coding RNA, 372 nt
Filed under: Homo sapiens (human)
Lineage: Eukaryota; Metazoa; Chordata; Mammalia; Primates; Hominidae
Description: non-protein coding lnc-MOCS2-3:1
Source: RNAcentral
CCACCCUGCCCGCCAUCCUGUGCUAUAAAGACCACAGACUCAGCCAGCAGAGAGGAGAAGCAACUGGACGUGAGGGACUACGGCUGGAUGUCAGAGAGAAGUGGCUUGAUUUCAGAGGGACAUUUUGAUGGUGUAACUUUGGAGAAAAAUCCAGCCAGAGAUGGCAGGACUUCAGGGGAAGGUUACCUACCCAGCCCAUCCCCUUUUCUGCUCUCCUUCCUGCUGAGAGCCACUUUCACUGGGAAUAAAAUACCCCGCAUUUACCAUCUGUGAAUUCUUUUGUGUAACCUCAUUUUCCCUGAAUGCAGGACAAGAGCUCAGGAGUCAUGAGUGCAGAUACAGAAGGCUGUGACACUGGCCCUUUACUCUUGC